RNAcentral lists this ribosomal RNA (392 nucleotides) under uncultured bacterium. Its description in RNAcentral is "bacterial SSU rRNA". It matches the Rfam family "Bacterial small subunit ribosomal RNA", at positions 30 to 429 of the family's 1533-position model. The record is from RNAcentral.
AUUGAACGCUGGCGGAAUGCUUUACACAUGCAAGUCGAACGGUAGAGGGGGCAACCUCUCGAGAGUGGCGAACGGGUGAGUAAUAUAUCGGAACGUGCCCAGUCGUGGGGGAUAACGUAGCGAAAGUUACGCUAAUACCGCAUACGAUCUACGGAUGAAAGCGGGGGACCGUAAGGCCUCGCGCGAUUGGAGCGGCCGAUAUCAGAUUAGCUAGUUGGUGGGGUAAAGGCCCACCAAGGCGACGAUCUGUAGCUGGUCUGAGAGGACGACCAGCCACACUGGGACUGAGACACGGCCCAGACUCCUACGGGAGGCAGCAGUGGGGAAUUUUGGACAAUGGGCGCAAGCCUGAUCCAGCAAUGCCGCGUGCAGGAAGAAGGCCUCGGUGUAAC